This is a long non-coding RNA of Vitis riparia (riverbank grape), 437 nucleotides long. RefSeq lists it as uncharacterized. NCBI's taxonomy places the organism in Eukaryota, Viridiplantae, Streptophyta, Magnoliopsida, Vitales, Vitaceae. The transcript has 3 exons. The record is from RefSeq and is a predicted model, not a curated record.
UGGCAUUUUUUGCUAUGGCAAGUUCAAAAAAUGGGAUCAGUUGGGAGGUCAAUUGAUGUUGCAAGUUUUAAGAAUUAUGAAGAAUUAUGCUAGGCAAUUGAAUGCAUGUUUGGAGUUAAAGGUGUGCUCAACGACGAGAAAGGCUCGGGUUGGAAAAUGGUGUAUGUGGAUUAUGAGAAUGAUGUACUUCUUGUUGGGGAUGAUCCCUGGAAACCAUUGAGAUUCUUUUCAGCAAAAAGAUAUUAUUGAACAUGGAGGGCCAUACUCCAAUCUUCUGUGUUGGUGUUUUGGAUUCUCUGGCAGUGGAAUUGAAGGCGACAAAGGAUUUCUCCAAGUUAUAUGUUGGCAUUGCAAUACUUGGGUAUAUUGCUUCCAUUCCAGAAUCCGUCAACACCCGAGCCUUUUCUCAUCUUCUCACUUUCAUGGGCCAUAGAUAU